CACACGCGGGCUUGCGGUGCGUGCGCUUGCAUGGCGUCGCCCCGAUCCGGUGUCCGGACACUGUCUCCGGACGUCGCCCGCGGAGGAUCAACCGGAAAAGGAAGAUUU
Molecule: small RNA, 108 nt
Filed under: Rhodospirillum centenum SW
Lineage: Bacteria; Pseudomonadati; Pseudomonadota; Alphaproteobacteria; Rhodospirillales; Rhodospirillaceae
Description: rpsB sRNA
Rfam family: rpsB sRNA
Source: Rfam by way of RNAcentral